This is a small nucleolar RNA of Coffea eugenioides, 107 nucleotides long. NCBI's taxonomy places the organism in Eukaryota, Viridiplantae, Streptophyta, Magnoliopsida, Gentianales, Rubiaceae. The record is from RefSeq and is a predicted model, not a curated record.
AUUUGAUGGUAAGGGCAAUUGUUACACAACUUUUUAAAAUGCUUCCAUUAAUCAUAGAGAGUUUUUCCAUCAAAUUGACGAAUACCACAAAUUUCGUUUCUUAUAUU